CACGCCGUAAACGAUGUCUACUAGCCGUUGGGGGGCUUGACCCUUUAGUGGCGCAGCUAACGCACUAAGUAGACCGCCUGGGGAGUACGGCCGCAAGGUUAAAACUCAAAUGAAUUGACGGGGGCCCGCACAAGCGGUGGAGCAUGUGGUUUAAUUCGACGCAACGCGAAGAACCUUACCAGGCCUUGACAUCCCGAGAAUCCUGCAGAGAUGCGGGAGUGCCUUCGGGAGCUCGGUGACAGGUGC
RNAcentral lists this ribosomal RNA (246 nucleotides) under uncultured Gammaproteobacteria bacterium. RNAcentral describes it as "partial 16S ribosomal RNA". It matches the Rfam family "Bacterial small subunit ribosomal RNA", at positions 796 to 1041 of the family's 1533-position model. Lineage: Bacteria; Pseudomonadati; Pseudomonadota; Gammaproteobacteria. The record is from RNAcentral.